AUUUGCAGAUAUGACAAGAUCAUAACAUUCUUUUUCUCUAAUUGUCUAAUCUUCUAAAAAUAAGGUUGAUUUUAUCUGUAAAGAAGGUUUAACUGUGAAACCAGAGGCCAUUGUUACUUCUGACUAGUAGUAGUAAAGAAUUAAUGAAACCUAGCUAAUGUCUUCUGGUUUGAUUUGCAGAUAUGACAAGAUCAUUACAUUCUUUUUCUCUAAUUGUCUAAUCUUCUACAAAUAAGGUUGAUUUUAUCUGUAAAGAAGGUUUAGUCACUAUAAGUUUAAGUAUAAAAUAAUCUUUACUCUGCAACAGUGAUAAACUGUUGUUUUAUUUGCCCACGUGAUUUUUUUUUUCUCUUCCCAAUUUUUUUCUGCUGUGUUUAGGAUGGAUUAGAUAGAAAUCAGUAGUAUCAUGAUGGACUUUAUGUGACCUGCUAUGAUAGUUAAGGUUAUUUUUAACUCACUUUAGUCCUCUUAACUUGUUGUCGAUAUUGUGAAAAUUUGUCGUAUGGUCCAAAUUUUAAAUCAUCUGUGGAUAUCUUUGAUGUAAUUGGUAGUCUCGGACCAGCGAACCAUGGAUGUAAUUAUAGGUGCAAUGUUAAGGGUUUUGGAAUUUCAAAGAUUAGAACCGUGGUGGCAUGAGCUAUAAUGUCUGUCAGCAAUAUCAAGGGUUGCCACAUUUGUGACCAUUAUUUUGAACCUCAGAAUAGAACAAGGGCAAGUUGGAGUGAGGAUUUGAUUGGAACUCUUUCUUGAUCACGGCAAAGUCUCUCAGCAUUUUGGUAAUGUUCUCAUAUAUCCUUGUGUUCCACCUUUAUUUGCUGUGAAUCAAUGUCCUGUUUUCUGUGCUUGUUUUGCUUUGCUCUGUUCAACAGAAAGUUUUCCAUUAGCUUACUUUAAUUGUAUUAGUUUUUCACAAAGUUUAUUUUUAAUAUAUGCCUAUCUUUUAACUUUGUAAUGGAUAACUUCUUUAUGAAUUAUCAAAACAUGUGAAUUAUAAAAUCUUUUUUUAUGCAUUUUGUGUAGGGACUUUUUUAAUUUUAGUUCUUGUUUUAGUUUUUGUUUAGUAUUGGUUACUCUUAAUUGACAUCAAUAGAAUUAUUAACUUGGCAUUGUUGUGGUAAUAAAAAGUGUUAUUUGAACAUGUGACGUUAUGUGAUGUAUUUACAGGGAUUAAAAUAAGAAAUAUUUUGUUUACGAGAUUAAAA
RNAcentral lists this long non-coding RNA (1202 nucleotides) under Vigna radiata. Its description in RNAcentral is "long non-coding RNA (VRAD_LNC005567)". Lineage: Eukaryota; Viridiplantae; Streptophyta; Magnoliopsida; Fabales; Fabaceae. The record is from RNAcentral.